Molecule: long non-coding RNA, 1703 nt
Filed under: Homo sapiens (human)
Lineage: Eukaryota; Metazoa; Chordata; Mammalia; Primates; Hominidae
Description: non-protein coding LINC02217:37
Source: RNAcentral
AGACAAACGGACAGUGGACAGAUUGCAGAGAGCUCUGUGUGCUGAGAGGAGGGUGCAGACCAGAUUUUUAAAUUGAGAAUGCAACAGUGAAGGAUUUCAAGCUUGGAGUGAGAGGGGAGACUACGAGCCUGCAGUGAUAAGGCAAAGCUGAAGAUUUCAGAGCCAAGGCCACACCCUACAGUUGCCAUGGAAUGGGGUGGCACAGUGGGCUUUGGAGGUAAAGUCUGCAGUUGAGAAGUUCAAGGGUAGUAAGUACUUAAUGCCAGGUCAAUCAUCCCUUUUAAGACACAGAUAUCAUCUGCAGCGUUUUCAGGAACAGCGAUAGAGAAGAAAAGCGGGCAGCUACUAGAUAUUCAAAUCUUCCACAAAUGUCAGGGAGAGAGUCAGGCAGUUGGUAGAAGAGACCUGUAAAGCUGGGUACCAUAAGCCUCAACACAGGUGUUUUUAUUUCAAGGCUGGGGAGCUGUGCUUUGGAAAAGCAAUGAGGAGGUAACAGGAAGUCUCUUCUCCUUCUAAAUCCUGUGUUCAUGGAGGAGGGUGGGUUUUCUCCUCUUGAGAGGGAGUUACAUACAAGUUUAAGGGAAAAGAGUCUGAAGUUUCCACCUAAAUGAUUCUGAAAGAAUCAGAUAUACAGGGAGUCCACGGAGCCUCCCCUGCAAGCAUCAGUACAGAAGUCGAUGAUAAUCUGGAUGCAAGCCCAGGAGUGUGGAGUCCACUGACUCAGAAGACCUGCAUCUAAGGAAUUGGCUGUUCUUAUCCUUAAGAAUGAUGACUGUGUUUCCAAUUCCAGUAGACCCUUUGAUGCGUUCUGAAUAAAUAUUCCUUUUGGAAUUGAACUUCUAGAGCCCUUAACUUUGGCCCACUCUAGUUUUCUGUCUGUUUUUUUUUUUUUUAAUAUUUUUUUUUUGUAAAGAUAAGGUCUUGCUUUGUUGCCCAGGCUGGUCUUGAAUUCCUGGACUCAAGCAAUCCACCUGCCUUGGCCUCCCAAAGUGCUGGGAUUAUAGGUGUGAACCAUUGUGUCCGAUCGCUCUCUGGUUUUUCUAAUAUCAUGAUCCCAACUCUGUUCUUUAUGUAAAUUUCCCUGAUCACAUGGUUGUAUCUUGGCAUUUCAAAAUCCUUGACAGACUUUGUUUUGUUUGAAUUUUACAAUGAACUUACAUGACUAGGCACGGUCCCCAGUUCAGUUUUAUAGACAAGGAUUCUGUAGGUCAAGAAGUGAAACACAACCAAUAACAGCAGGUGACAGGAUUUAAACCUGGGUCACUUUACUUAUUUUUUUCUACUCUAUCAUUAUGUGAAUCUAUCCUACCUCUGCAAUGACAGAUGGCCCUAGAGCAAGAACACUUCCUUACAUCUGGUAUACAGUCAAAAAGUAAAAAUUCCACACAAAUAAAUAUGGAAAGAAUUUUUACCUGCUCCUAUAGCUUCCUUUCAGGGACCUGGCACCCACAAAUGUUGGGUAACAGAAAGAGGACUUAUGUAACUUAACUCAAAGCAGAAAAGUUACAGAGACUGUCUUAGCAUAAUAGAGCAUGGAGUGGUCAUGCUUGGAUGUGCAAACUGUCUGAUAGUCUUGCACAUGGCUUGACCCCGAAUUACACUAGUGGGGCAAGUUGCCUGGGGCAAAGCAAACUUAUUGGACCCAAAGCUCUCAUUUGAGAAUUUUGUUGACUAAAAGUUAUAAAAUAUCAGCAAUUUCAUAU